AGAGGCGAAAUUGUAGCUUCCGAAUCUCGCUUAAUUGAAUCUCCUGCUCCAAGUAGAAUUUCCAGGCGUUCCGUAUACGAACCUCUUCAAACAGGGCUUAUUGCUAUCGAUUCGAUGAUCCCUAUAGGGCGCGGUCAGCGAGAGUUCAUUAUUGGGGACAGACAGACUGGCAAAACAGCCCGCUCGUGUUCCGUUUUCCUUGUGGUUCCCGUAGUCGAAGCAGCUUAA
This 228-nucleotide ribosomal RNA is filed under the name Triticum aestivum (bread wheat). Its description in RNAcentral is "partial small subunit ribosomal RNA". Lineage: Eukaryota; Viridiplantae; Streptophyta; Magnoliopsida; Poales; Poaceae. The record is from RNAcentral.